This 337-nucleotide ribosomal RNA is filed under the name uncultured fungus. RNAcentral describes it as "eukaryotic LSU rRNA". Lineage: Eukaryota; Fungi. The record is from RNAcentral.
AACGCACCUUGCGCUCCUGGGCUAUUCCUAGGAGCAUGCCUGUUUGAGUGUCGUGAAAUCAUCAACCCCAGUUGGAUUUGAAAUUUGACUGGUGGCCUGGACUUGGGGGUUUGCUGGCCUCUUGCCUCCCUUGCCGGGGGCUUGAGGGGGGUCGACUCCUCUGGAAUGCAUUAGCUCGAGGUUGGCUUCGGGCGGUCCGUGGCGUGAUAGGUUUUUGUUACGUCUCGAUAAUUCCGUCUCGGAGCCGUGUGGCUUCGGCUUCGAAUCGUCCCUCUUGGGGGACUGACUCCAUCUUGAAUCUGACCUCAAAUCAGGCAGGACUACCCGCUGAACUUAA